Molecule: ribosomal RNA, 497 nt
Filed under: uncultured bacterium
Lineage: Bacteria
Description: partial 16S ribosomal RNA
Rfam family: Bacterial small subunit ribosomal RNA
Source: RNAcentral
GAUGAACGCUGGCGGCGUGCCUAAUACAUGCAAGUCGAGCGAACGGACGAGAAGCUUGCUUCUCUGAUGUUAGCGGCGGACGGGUGAGUAACACGUGGAUAACCUACCUAUAAGACUGGGAUAACUUCGGGAAACCGGAGCUAAUACCGGAUAAUAUUUUGAACCGCAUGGUUCAAAAGUGAAAGACGGUCUUGCUGUCACUUAUAGAUGGAUCCGCGCUGCAUUAGCUAGUUGGUAAGGUAACGGCUUACCAAGGCAACGAGGCAUAGCCGACCUGAGAGGGGGAUCGGCCACACUGGAACUGAGACACGGUCCAGACUCCUACGGGAGGCAGCAGUAGGGAAUCUUCCGCAGUGGGCGAAAGCCUGACGGAGCAACGCCGCGUGAGUGAUGAAGGUCUUCGGAUCGUAAAACUCUGUUAUUAGGGAAGAACAUAUGUGUAAGUAACUGUGCACAUCUUGACGGUACCUAAUCAGAAAGCCACGGCUAACUACGUG